GAUGAACGCUAGCUACAGGCUUAACACAUGCAAGUCGAGGGGAAACGAUAGAGAAAGCUUGCUUUUUCUAGGCGUCGACCGGCGCACGGGUGAGUAACGCGUAUCCAACCUGCCCAUCACUUGGGGAUAACCUUGCGAAAGUAAGACUAAUACCCAAUGAUAUCUCUAGAAGACAUCUGAAGGAGAUUAAAGAUUUAUCGGUGAUGGAUGGGGAUGCGUCUGAUUAGCUUGUUGGCGGGGUAACGGCCCACCAAGGCGACGAUCAGUAGGGGGUCUGAGAGGAAGGUCCCCCACAUUGGAACUGAGACACGGUCCAAACUCCUACGGGAGGCAGCAGUGAGGAAUAUUGGUCAAUGGGCGAGAGCCUGAACCAGCCAAGUAGCGUGCAGGAUGACGGCCCUAUGGGUUGUAAACUGCUUUUAUAAGGGAAUAAAGUGAGCCUCGUGAGGCUUUUUGCAUGUACCUUAUGAAUAAGGACCGGCUAAUUCCGUGCCAGCCGCCGCAGUAA
RNAcentral lists this ribosomal RNA (508 nucleotides) under uncultured bacterium. RNAcentral's name for it is "partial 16S ribosomal RNA". It matches the Rfam family "Bacterial small subunit ribosomal RNA", at positions 28 to 523 of the family's 1533-position model. The record is from RNAcentral.